UGGGAUAUAGCUCAGUUAGUAGAGUACAUGCCUUGCAUGCACAAGGGUCUGGGUUCAAUCCCUAGCACCUCAA
This 73-nucleotide transfer RNA is filed under the name Urocitellus parryii (Arctic ground squirrel). RNAcentral's name for it is "Spermophilus parryii (Arctic ground squirrel) tRNA". It matches the Rfam family "tRNA". From Rfam's summary of the family: Transfer RNA (tRNA) molecules are approximately 80 nucleotides in length. Their secondary structure includes four short double-helical elements and three loops (D, anti-codon, and T loops). Further hydrogen bonds mediate the characteristic L-shaped molecular structure. tRNAs have two regions of fundamental functional importance: the anti-codon, which is responsible for specific mRNA codon recognition, and the 3' end, to which the tRNAs corresponding amino acid is attached (by aminoacyl-tRNA synthetases). tRNAs cope with the degeneracy of the genetic code in two manners: having more than one tRNA (with a specific anti-codon) for a particular amino acid; and 'wobble' base-pairing, i.e. permitting non-standard base-pairing at the 3rd anti-codon position. The record is from Rfam by way of RNAcentral. RNAcentral also lists the same sequence under 1 other name. Lineage: Eukaryota; Metazoa; Chordata; Mammalia; Rodentia; Sciuridae.